Molecule: non-coding RNA, 73 nt
Organism: Parelaphostrongylus tenuis
Lineage: Eukaryota; Metazoa; Nematoda; Chromadorea; Rhabditida; Metastrongylidae
Source: the annotation of a GenBank genome assembly
GCGUCGGUGGUGCAACGGAUCAGUACGCACUCACGGAAAGAAUGAGAACUGGGUUCGAAUCCUGGCUGACGCC